This is a non-coding RNA of Paramuricea clavata, 1085 nucleotides long. Lineage: Eukaryota; Metazoa; Cnidaria; Anthozoa; Malacalcyonacea; Plexauridae. The record is from the annotation of a GenBank genome assembly.
UAUUACUUAACAUAUGAGCCAUUUCUCAUUAGGGGCGGACCAUUAGAAAUCCCGGGAGGGGGGGUAUAAAAUUUUUGCGGCACGAAUUUUUUUUUCAGUCUCAUGUCUCUGCAGGAAUUUUUUUUAAUGCAUUUAACCUCUGCACGAAUUUUUUUUCAAGACUACUUGUACUUUGCUCAUGGGCGUACCGGAAGGAAAAAGUUAGGGGGGCGGAAAGAAAUUUGCCGGACUUUUCCGGAUUUUGACCGACAAGUACUGAAAACAUUUUUCCGCAAUUUGUUUUGGCUUUCCAACACACACACACCAAAAGUUACUACAAAAUUGACAGAAUUUGUCAUUUUUUUUUUUAAUAAACAAAAUUGCCCAACUGUUCAGCGAAUAUUGCCCGACUGCCAACUGCCCGGUACGCCCAUGACUUUGCUGUUUGUUUGCACGAAUUUUUUUUCUCUGACGUAAUGGCUGCACGAAUUUUUUUCCAGGCAUUUUUCUUUGCACGAAUUUUUUUGGGGAAUUUUCACCCCCCCUCCCGGGAUUUCUAAUGGUCCGCCCCUUAUAUUCUGCGACCACUUGUUGUGCUGGGGAACCAUGCAGGAACACAGUGGAAUGCGUAAGCUGGGUAAUAGGGUUAGAGUUUUGGUCAUGUCAUGCAUGCUCAGGCCUGGCUAAGGUGGAGAUAUAUUGGUACCAAAAGCAUUUUACCUUUCAGUAUCUGUUAUUUUAUUCUCCAAAUAGGUCAAAAUACAAGUAAACACUUAAAUGUAAUCCCAUAUUUAUUGAAGAACACUGGGAAUUAUAGGUAUAUAUUGGUAUUCAGAACCAGUACAAUUGCAGCCAGUGUUUAUUAGGCAUAUCCUUGAAACCCAUAUAUUUGUAUACAUUGUACAACAUUCUAUUAUUACUUGAUUACACAUAUGCAGUGGUUAAAACAAUAGUGUAGCACGCCAAGAUACGAAAUUAGACCCGGACAACAACACUGUCAACAGUCUGCUUCGGUGGUUAUAUAAUUAAUACAAAAUUACAAAGUGAAGGUAAACAUCUAUUACGGGAACCACUGAGUAUUUUAAUAAAAUAUAAAACAACGGUAA